CGUGUUGUGAGAUGUUGGGUUAAGUCCCGCAACGAGCGCAACCCUUGCCCUUAGUUGCCAUCAUUCAGUUGGGCACUCUAAGGGGACCGCCGGUGACAAACCGGAGGAAGGUGGGGAUGACGUCAAGUCAGCAUGGCCUUUAUGUCUGGGGCCACACACGUGCUACAAUGGCCAGUACAAACCGUUGCAAACUCGCGAGGGUGAGCUAAUCGGAGAAAGCUGGUCUCAGUUCGGAUUGUAGGCUGC
Molecule: ribosomal RNA, 246 nt
Filed under: Ditylum brightwellii
Lineage: Eukaryota; Bacillariophyta; Thalassiosirophyceae; Lithodesmiales; Lithodesmiaceae
Description: partial Bacterial small subunit ribosomal RNA
Rfam family: Bacterial small subunit ribosomal RNA
Source: RNAcentral